This 253-nucleotide ribosomal RNA is filed under the name uncultured bacterium. RNAcentral describes it as "partial 16S ribosomal RNA". It matches the Rfam family "Bacterial small subunit ribosomal RNA", at positions 524 to 776 of the family's 1533-position model. The record is from RNAcentral.
UACAGAGGCCUCGAGCGUUAGGCGGAAUCACUGGGCUUAAAGCGUGUGUAGGCGGACUUCUAAGUACCUUGUGAAAUCCCACGGCUCACCCGUGGAACUGCUCGGUAUACUGGUCGUCUUGAGCCUUCUAGGGGCGAGUGGAACAAAUGGUGGAGCGGUGAAAUGCGUAGAUAUCAUGUGGAACGCCAAUGGUGAAAACAACUCGCUGGGGAAGUGCUGACGCUGAGACACGAAAGCCAGGGGAGCGAACGGG